This 497-nucleotide ribosomal RNA is filed under the name uncultured bacterium. RNAcentral describes it as "partial 16S ribosomal RNA". It matches the Rfam family "Bacterial small subunit ribosomal RNA", at positions 28 to 507 of the family's 1533-position model. The record is from RNAcentral.
GAUGAACGCUGGCGGCGUGCCUAAUACAUGCAAGUCGAGCGAACGGACGAGAAGCUUGCUUCUCUGAUGUUAGCGGCGGACGGGUGAGUAACACGUGGAUAACCUACCUAUAAGACUGGGAUAACUUCGGGAAACCGUAGCUAAUACCGGAUAAUAUUUUGAACCGCAUGGUUCAAAAGUGAAAGACGGUCUUGCUGUCACUAUUAGAUGGAUCCGCGCUGCAUUAGCUAGUUGGUAAGGUAACGGCUUACCAAGGCAACGAUGCGUAGCCGACCUGAGAGGGUGAUCAGCCACACUGGAACUGAGACACGGUCCAGACUCCUACGGGAGGCAGCAGUAGGGAAUCUUCCGCAAUGGGCGAAAGCCUGACGGAGCAACACCGCGUGAGUGAUGAAGGUCUUCGGAUCGUAAAACUCUGUUAUUAGGGAAGAACAUAUGUGUAAGUAUCUGUGCACAUCUUGACGGUACCUAAUCAGAAAGCCACGGCUAACUACGUG